RNAcentral lists this transfer RNA (92 nucleotides) under Dreissena polymorpha. It matches the Rfam family "tRNA". Rfam says of the family: Transfer RNA (tRNA) molecules are approximately 80 nucleotides in length. Their secondary structure includes four short double-helical elements and three loops (D, anti-codon, and T loops). Further hydrogen bonds mediate the characteristic L-shaped molecular structure. tRNAs have two regions of fundamental functional importance: the anti-codon, which is responsible for specific mRNA codon recognition, and the 3' end, to which the tRNAs corresponding amino acid is attached (by aminoacyl-tRNA synthetases). tRNAs cope with the degeneracy of the genetic code in two manners: having more than one tRNA (with a specific anti-codon) for a particular amino acid; and 'wobble' base-pairing, i.e. permitting non-standard base-pairing at the 3rd anti-codon position. Lineage: Eukaryota; Metazoa; Mollusca; Bivalvia; Myida; Dreissenidae. The record is from Rfam by way of RNAcentral.
GCCGGAAUAGCUCAGUUGGGAGAGCGUUAGACUAAAAAAAUUGUUUACGCAACAAUCAUCUAAAGGCCCCGGUUCAAUCCCGGGUUCCGGCA